RNAcentral lists this small RNA (79 nucleotides) under Novosphingobium pentaromativorans US6-1. Its description in RNAcentral is "Makes More Granules Regulator RNA (mmgR)". It matches the Rfam family "Makes More Granules Regulator RNA (mmgR)". From Rfam's summary of the family: SuhB later renamed mmgR (makes more granules regulator) was a putative non-coding RNA found multiple times in the Agrobacterium tumefaciens genome and related alpha-proteobacteria. Other non-coding RNAs uncovered in the same analysis include: speF, ybhL, metA, and serC. Lineage: Bacteria; Pseudomonadati; Pseudomonadota; Alphaproteobacteria; Sphingomonadales; Sphingomonadaceae. The record is from Rfam by way of RNAcentral.
CGAACGGGCCUUUCAGGCAUCCUCUCCCAAAUAAACUUCCAUGGGCCGGUCUUUGGAUCGGCCUUUUUUUUUGCGCUUU